AGUUCCACAGAAUUGCAGGUAUCAGUCUAAGGAGUAAUUAAUUUAUGUCAUAAAGCUUUGAGACUUGAAGCACUAAUCAGUCAAUUUGAUAUAUUUUAGGGUUUCCAGGUGUGAUUGGCUGCAUAGAUGGCACUCAGAUUCGUAUCAUAGCUCCUUCAAUAAAUGAAGGAGAUUAUGUGAAUAGGAAAUCUGUCCACAGCAUUAAUGUACAGAUCAUAUGUGACGCAGCCCACAUGAUAAAUAAUGUGGAAGCGAAGUGGCCUGGGUCUGUGUAUGACUCGUGAAUGUUUCGUGAGUCUACACUGAGUGCCAGAUUUGCCCGUGGAGAGUUUGAUGGUUAUCUACUCGGAGACAGAGGGUACCCCUGCCAGCGCUAUCUGCUGACCCCUUACCCUGACCCUGACCCUUGCCCACAGCAACACUACAACUUGGCUCACUGCAGGACACGAGCCAGAGCGGAGAUGACCAUCAGCAUACUCAAGGCCCGGUUCCAGUGCCUUCGUAGGCUCAGGGUCACCCCGGAAAGGGCUUGUGACAUUAUAGUG
This is a long non-coding RNA of Gadus morhua (Atlantic cod), 545 nucleotides long. RefSeq lists it as uncharacterized. The transcript is spliced from 3 exons. The record is from RefSeq and is a predicted model, not a curated record. Lineage: Eukaryota; Metazoa; Chordata; Actinopteri; Gadiformes; Gadidae.